GGCAGCGUGGCCCAGUGGAAAGAGCACGGGCUUUGGAGUCAGAGGUCAUGAGUUCAAAUCCCAACUCUGCCA
This 72-nucleotide transfer RNA is filed under the name Ornithorhynchus anatinus (platypus). It matches the Rfam family "tRNA". Rfam says of the family: Transfer RNA (tRNA) molecules are approximately 80 nucleotides in length. Their secondary structure includes four short double-helical elements and three loops (D, anti-codon, and T loops). Lineage: Eukaryota; Metazoa; Chordata; Mammalia; Monotremata; Ornithorhynchidae. The record is from Rfam by way of RNAcentral.